UGGGGAAUAUUGCGCAAUGGGGGAAACCCUGACGCAGCAACGCCGCGUGAAGGAUGAAGGCUUUCGGGUUGUAAACUUCUUUGAUGAGGGACGAAAGAAAUGACGGUACCUCAAAAACAAGCCACGGCUAACUACGUGCCAGCAGCCGCGGUAAUACGUAGGUGGCGAGCGUUGUCCGGAAUUACUGGGUGUAAAGGGCGUGUAGGCGGGGAUGCAAGUCAGAUGUGAAAUGCCGGGGCUUAACUCCGGAGCUGCAUCUGAAACUGUGUUUCUUGAGUGUCGGAGAGGAAAGCGGAAUUCCCAGUGUAGCGGUGAAAUGCGUAGAGAUUAGGAAGAACACCAGUGGCGAAGGCGACUUUCUGGACCGUAACUGACGCUGAGGCAUGAAAGCGUGGGGAGCAAACA
This 405-nucleotide ribosomal RNA is filed under the name uncultured bacterium. RNAcentral's name for it is "bacterial SSU rRNA". It matches the Rfam family "Bacterial small subunit ribosomal RNA", at positions 355 to 774 of the family's 1533-position model. The record is from RNAcentral.